This 1276-nucleotide ribosomal RNA is filed under the name Paranepanthia grandis. RNAcentral's name for it is "partial 16S ribosomal RNA". It matches the Rfam family "Bacterial large subunit ribosomal RNA", at positions 566 to 2568 of the family's 2925-position model. The record is from RNAcentral. Lineage: Eukaryota; Metazoa; Echinodermata; Asteroidea; Valvatida; Asterinidae.
AUUAAUAAUAAGCAAAGAAAAAGUUAAAAUUUGUACCUUUUGUAUUAUGGUUCAAUAAGGUUAUGUAAAUAUAGUUUUAUAGCCCGAAGCUGAGCGAGCUAAUGUAUUCUGCUUUAAGAGAUGAGGUUUUUACUGUUGCAAUAGUUAGACCUGAGGAUACAUUAGGUGUGACAUGCUUAUCGUGCUCAGGGAUAGCUGGUUUUCCUAGAAAUUAGUGUAAGCUAGGUGUAUAUAUUUAUCAUAGUGUGAUUAUCUUUAGGGAUAAUGCUAUAGUAUUGAUAAUAAUGUGAUUUUUAGACAGGAAGGGUUAAGCUUUUUUGUCAAAGAAGAAAAAGCUUUGAAUUACUAAUUAAGAAUAGUUUUAUGAGAAUGUGUUGAAGGUUUGAUAAAAAGUAGGAUUAAUAGCAUCUAACUUUGUGGAGGGCGUUAAAGCUUAUUUAUUAAUAAGAAAUACAGAUUAUUUUAGUAGUAUUAUUCUAAAUUGUAAGAAUAUAUAGGAAAAUUUCAUUAACAUGAAAGUUAUAAUGUUGGAAUUAGUAGAGAAUAAGUAUGUAUUUUUUGUGUAUUAAUCAAUCCUUACAUUGGAUGGAGCAAUUAAAGUUAUAGACGAGAAAUUAGUUUGUUUAAAUUGUCUACUAACACAAGUAAUAUAGAACAAGUAAAUAAAAGGGAAAGGAACUCGGCAAACAUGGAUUUCGCCUGUUUACCAAAAACAUCGCUCUUUGAAAAGAAUCUGAUAUAUAAAGAGUCCUGCCUGCCCGGUGACUUAGUUAAACGGCCGCGGUAUCUUGACCGUGCAAAGGUAGCAUAAUCAUUUGCCUCUUAAAUGGAGGCUGGUAUGAAUGGCAAGACGGAAAUCAAGCUGUCUCUCUCUUAUAUUUUGAAGUUAAUAUCUUUGUGAAGAAGCAGAGAUAAGAUCGUAGGACGAGAAGACCCUAUCGAGCUUAAAUAGUAGUAAGAUACAAGCAUACUAAUAUUACUUUAUUGCUAAUUGAUAGUUUUUAACGGUUAAAAUAGUUUACUUUUGGGUAACAGUGUUGUGUAUAUUAUAUUUAGGUUGGGGCAACCACGGAGAACAAGUAUCCUCCGUUAGAUUAAUUAUUAAAAAAUUUUUUUAAAAUAUAAGAUUUAUAUAGAAGUGAUCCACUAUAAGGUGAGUAAAAGAAUAAGUUACCGUAGGGAUAACAGCGUAAUUUUCUUGGAGAGUUCAUAUUGAUAAGAAAGUUUGCGACCUCGAUGUUGGAUCGGGAUUUCCUAGAGAUGUAGCAGUUUCUAA